ACUUUCGCAAUCUUACUACGAUUCACAAACUCCUAGCAAAUCAUAAUAGUAGCACAUGGUUGUGCUUUUUGGAUUAUUCGUCCUAGCUGUUACUCAAUUUACCAAGUCUUUUUCUUCUUUUCUCAGUUUUGCCGCGACCCCUGAAACAGUGUGGGUAAACGACCCCUGUGCACACCUGUAUCUCUUCUGGAAAGCUCCUUGUGGACUUCAAAGCAUCCUGAAUCAUUCUUUGAUUGAAACGUUCCCAUGAAGAGUCACUGUAGUGUCAAAGUGCUUACAGUGCAGGUAGUUUUAUGAAAUCUACUGCAGUGAAGGCACUUUCAGCACUAUUCUGAUAAUGGUAACGAAAGGAGUAGGUGUUUUUACAGAUGUUGCCACCUUAUGCUUGUACAGGGUGGACUAAAUCCAAAUAGCACAUCAAUACACACCAGGCAGGACCCCGUCACUGAUCUGCUAUGAUGUGCCCUGCUGUUCCUGAAGGAGGCCCUCUUAUCAAACUUGCUUAAUUUUGAAGGCAUUCUGUCAGUUAAUGUCCUUUCAGUGUUAAACGGUCCAUGACAUCAGUUUUGUUUUUUCUGUUUGUUUAGAAAUGACUGUAAAUUACAGGCCAAAUUUAUCUUGUAGGCUUCUCUAAAAAAGUACUGUUGAGAAAUCAUUUAAAAUGAGUGUUUUUUGCGUGGCUUUUACCAGUCCUUAUGCUAAGGUGCAUCUAGUGCAGAUAGUGAAGUAGACUAGCACCUACUGCCCUAAGUGCUCCUUCUGGCAUAAGAUGAUGGGACUCUCAUCUGAUAUGUAUCAAUUGUUCUGUGUAUAAAUAUACACACUUUAAAUGUGGCAGUCUCCUAUUAGUUUUGCAUAGUUGUACUGCAAGAAGAAUUAAGUUGUGCAAAUCUAUGCAAAACUGAUGGUGGCCUGUGUUUUUCAGCUGAAUUCACCUAUUCCUUCAUGAUGGUCAAGUACAGUUCCCACUACAGAUUUGUUUAUAGGGUACAGCAAUGUGUCAGUAGUAUUAAAGUGCUUAUAGUGCAGGUAGUUUUAUGAAUUUCUACUGCAGUGUGAGCACUUAAAGUACUCCUAGAUGUAUGUUUCUUCUUGGAAAACUGCAGUGGUAGCUAUUGUACAUGGGUCUCUGGUUAGUUUUGCUGGUUUGCUUUCAGCUUAUCACUGUACUGCUGUGCAAAUCCAUGCAAAACUGAUCAUAGAACUGAAAUGAGUCUAUCAGAAGUGAUCCCUUUCUGUGCAGGUUGGGAGAGGAAGCAAUGCUCUGUACUUGUCUGGUAUUGCACUUGUCCCGGCCUGUUGAGGACAUGGGGAAUUGUUCUGCGCCACGUUCUACUGCCCACAUGCAUUUAGGAUAUAUUUGUGCUGCUCUAUUGAAUUGCCAUCUUUAAGUCACCAUCUACAUUUUCUCUUAUUUGUGUAGCAUUAAUCAAUUUCAUCACAAAAUUCAUAGUUGAGGUAACAUUUCUAUGAAUAUGUGUUAUUCUGAAUGUGACUAAACAAUGUAGGUUCACUAUUUGUGACAAUUCAAAGUUGAAAAUAAAAUUGUUCAUUUGA
Eleginops maclovinus (Patagonian blennie) is the source of this 1557-nucleotide long non-coding RNA. RefSeq lists it as uncharacterized. The transcript is spliced from 2 exons. The record is from RefSeq and is a predicted model, not a curated record. Lineage: Eukaryota; Metazoa; Chordata; Actinopteri; Perciformes; Eleginopidae.